RNAcentral lists this ribosomal RNA (379 nucleotides) under uncultured bacterium. Its description in RNAcentral is "bacterial SSU rRNA". It matches the Rfam family "Bacterial small subunit ribosomal RNA", at positions 28 to 409 of the family's 1533-position model. The record is from RNAcentral.
AUUGAACGCUGGCGGCAUGCCUUACACAUGCAAGUCGAGCGGCAGCGCGGGGCGAACCCUGGCGGCGAGCGGUGAACGGGUGAGUAAUACAUCGGAACGUGUCCUCUUGUGGGGAUAACCAGCCGAAAGGUUGGCUAAUACCGCAUGAGCUCGAGAGAGGAAAGCGGGGACCGCAAGGCCUCGCGCGAGAGGAGCGGCCGAUGCCGGAUUAGCUAGUUGGUGGGGUAAUGGCCCACCAAGGCGACGAUCCGUAGCUGGUCUGAGAGGACGACCAGCCACACUGGGACUGAGACACGGGCCCCAGACUCCUACGGGAGGCAGCAGUGGGGAAUUUUGGACAAUGGGCGCAAGCCUGAUCCAGCCAUGCCGCGUGUGCGAA